ACCACGGGGAUGCUUAGUACGGCGAGUGAAGCGGCAAAAGCUCAAUUUGAAAACGCUUCGGCGUGUUGUAAGUAAAGUGGUUAGACGCUUUUUAAUAAGUCCCUUGGAACAGGGCGCCAUAGAGGGUGAUAGCCCCGUAUUAAAUUGUCUAGUGUGCUACUUUAGAGCGAGUCGAGUUGUUUGGGAAUGCAGCUCAAAUAGGUGGUAAACUCCAUCUAAAGCUAAAUAUUGCUGGGAGACCGAUAGCGAACAAGUACAGUGAUGGAAAGAUGAAAAGCACUUUGAAAAGAGAGUGAAAUAGCGUGUGAAAUUGUUGGAGGGGAAGGCGAUGGUAGGAAUAAGAGGCUGCGGUUUGAAAUAAUUGUUUUUCGGGCCACGGUCUCCUGAGCCUGCUUUCGCACCCGUCUUGAAAAACGGACCAAA
This 423-nucleotide ribosomal RNA is filed under the name Magnusiomyces capitatus. RNAcentral describes it as "partial large subunit ribosomal RNA". It matches the Rfam family "Eukaryotic large subunit ribosomal RNA", at positions 64 to 670 of the family's 3401-position model. Lineage: Eukaryota; Fungi; Ascomycota; Dipodascomycetes; Dipodascales; Dipodascaceae. The record is from RNAcentral.